RNAcentral lists this ribosomal RNA (513 nucleotides) under uncultured bacterium. Its description in RNAcentral is "bacterial SSU rRNA". It matches the Rfam family "Bacterial small subunit ribosomal RNA", at positions 17 to 518 of the family's 1533-position model. The record is from RNAcentral.
UUCUGGCUCAGGAUGAACGCUAGCUACAGGCUUAACACAUGCAAGUCGAGGGGCAGCAUUGGGAUAGCUUGCUAUUCAGAUGGCGACCGGCGCACGGGUGAGUAACGCGUAUCCAACCUUCCUGCCAGUAGGGAACAGCCCGGCGAAAGUCGGAUUAAUGCCCUAUGUUCUUCAAUGCGGACAUCUAAGUUGAAGGAAAGAUUCAUCGCUGGCAGAUGGGGAUGCGUCCGAUUAGCUUGCCGGCGGGGUAACGGCCCACCGGGGCGACGAUCGGUAGGGGUUCUGAGAGGAAGGUCCCCCACACUGGUACUGAGACACGGACCAGACUCCUACGGGAGGCAGCAGUGAGGAAUAUUGGUCAAUGGGCGUAAGCCUGAACCAGCCAAGUAGCGUGCAAGGGAUGACGGCCCUACGGGUUGUAAACUGCUUUUAUGCGGGGAUAAAGUGCGGCACGUGUGCCGCUUUGCAGGUACCGCAUGAAUAAGGACCGGCUAAUUCCGUGCCAGCCGCCGC